This 107-nucleotide ribosomal RNA is filed under the name uncultured bacterium. RNAcentral's name for it is "partial 16S ribosomal RNA". It matches the Rfam family "Bacterial small subunit ribosomal RNA", at positions 1377 to 1482 of the family's 1533-position model. The record is from RNAcentral.
CCCGUUGUACACACCGCCCGUCACGCCAUGGAAGCCUGGGGGGACCUGAAGCCGGUGGGCUAACCGCAAGGGGGCAGCCGUCAAAGGUCAAUUCAGUGACUGGGGCG